AAUACCAAAGUGUUGUGUUCUACGACGAUUGUCAAAAGAUGCAAUAGGCAGCCUUCCUUCCACGCGCAAAAGUGAUUUGUUCGUUUGGUCGGAUGAGCAGCGCUCGCGAUACAAUCAGCAGACUGUUUUAGGGGCUGAAGCAUUUCACGUGGCAUCAAAUAAUCCUGAAGUGUAUAAAAAGCUUAGAGAAUAUCUGCAGGGCAUCAUAUCAAAGAAGCAAAUGUCUCACAUUGAAGUCCCCAACAGUCGCAACUCUGUGGAUCAAGCUAGUCAGAACUGUGAAAGAGCUUCAACCAUGGUUCGUGAUCCAAUUCGGAUCGCCACCAAAGGUGCACCCAAGCAAAAGGCCACAAAUCAACAUAGUAAGAACAGCAAUGGCGAAUCUAGUAAAAGAUUGAACGGAUUCGACGAGAAAGAAAAAACACAACAAAAACGGUGUAGUUUAUGCCAACAAACAGGCCAUAAUAUGCGCACAUGCGAGCAAAAUCCUAAGUUUCAUCCACCUCCGAAUUGAAUUGGUGCAAGGCUGGAUGGUAUUAUUGAAAGUUGUGGGACAAUUGAGUGGAAUGGUGGCGGCCUCCACUUAGUUGCAAUUUCUGUGUUGCCAAGUAGUUUGUAGUGGAGAAUUAUCAUCUUCUGUAUUGCUUAAUUGAAGGAAAACUAAUGUUAUGCUUUCUACCGA
Molecule: long non-coding RNA, 682 nt
Organism: Brachypodium distachyon (stiff brome)
Lineage: Eukaryota; Viridiplantae; Streptophyta; Magnoliopsida; Poales; Poaceae
Exons: 2
Source: RefSeq, a predicted model, not a curated record